UUGGUUAAGUUAGAAAGGGCGCACGGUGGAUGCCUUGGCACUAGGAGCCGAAGAAGGACGGGACUAACACCGAUAUGCUUUGGGGAGCUGUACGUAAGCGUUGAUCCAGAGAUUUCCGAAUGGGGGAACCCACUAUCUUUAGUCGGAUAGUAUCCUUACGUGAAUACAUAGCGUGAGGAAGGCAGACCCAGGGAACUGAAACAUCUAAGUACCUGGAGGAAGAGAAAGAAAAAUCGAUUUCCUGAGUAGCGGCGAGCGAAACGGAAAGAGCCCAAACCAAGAAGCUUGCUUCUUGGGGUUGUAGGACACUCUAUACGGAGUUACAAAAGAAAGUUAUAAAUGAAGCGGUCUGGAAAGGCCCGCCAAAGACGGUAACAGCCCGGUAGUUGAAAUAGCUUUCCCUCCAGAGUGGAUCCUGAGUACGGCGGAACACGUGAAAUUCCGUCGGAAUCCGGGAGGACCAUCUCCCAAGGCUAAAUACUCCCUAGUGACCGAUAGUGAACCAGUACCGUGAGGGAAAGGUGAAAAGCACCCCGGAAGGGGAGUGAAACAGUUCCUGAAACCGUGUGCCUACAAGUAGUUAGAGCCCGUUAAUGGGUGAUAGCGUGCCUUUUGUAGAAUGAACCGGCGAGUUACGAUUUGUUGCAAGGUUAAGCGGAAAAAGCGGAGCCGUAGCGAAAGCGAGUCUGAAUAGGGCGCAUAAGUAACAGGUCGUAGACCCGAAACCAGGUGAUCUACCCAUGUCCAGGAUGAAGGUAAGGUAAUACUUACUGGAGGUCCGAACCCACGCACGUUGAAAAGUGCGGGGAUGAGGUGUGGGUAGCGGAGAAAUUCCAAUCGAACUUGGAGAUAGCUGGUUCUCUCCGAAAUAGCUUUAGGGCUAGCCUCGAGGUAAAGAGUCAUGGAGGUAGAGCACUGUUUGGACUAGGGGCCCUUCUCGGGUUACCGAAUUCAGAUAAACUCCGAAUGCCAUGUACUUAUACUCGGGAGUCAGACUGCGAGUGAUAAGAUCCGUAGUCGAAAGGGAAACAGCCCAGACCACCAGUUAAGGUCCCCAAAUAUAUGUUAAGUGGAAAAGGAUGUGGGGUUGCUUAGACAACCAGGAUGUUGGCUUAGAAGCAGCCACCAUUGAAAGAGUGCGUAAUAGCUCACUGGUCGAGUGACCCCGCGCCGAAAAUGUACCGGGGCUAAACAUAUUACCGAAACUGUGGAUGAACCUCUUUGGAGGUUCGUGGUAGGAGAGCGUUCUAAGGGCGGUGAAGUCAGACCGGAAGGACUGGUGGAGCGCUUAGAAGUGAGAAUGCCGGUAUGAGUAGCGAAAGAAGGGUGAGAAUCCCUUCCACCGAAUAUCUAAGGUUUCCUGAGGAAGGCUCGUCCGCUCAGGGUUAGUCGGGACCUAAGCCGAGGCCGAUAGGCGUAGGCGAUGGACAACAGGUAGAGAUUCCUGUACCAGUGCUAAUUGUUUAACCGAUGGGGUGACACAGAAGGAUAGGGAAUCGCACGAAUGGAAAUGUGCGUCCAAGCAGUGAGUGUGAG
This 1536-nucleotide ribosomal RNA is filed under the name Listeria welshimeri. RNAcentral describes it as "partial 23S ribosomal RNA". It matches the Rfam family "Bacterial large subunit ribosomal RNA", at positions 1 to 1529 of the family's 2925-position model. Lineage: Bacteria; Bacillati; Bacillota; Bacilli; Caryophanales; Listeriaceae. The record is from RNAcentral.